UCAAAAUGACUUUGAAAUCCCCUGUUCUGUCUUUAGAAAAUCAUUGUAAAUUGUACAAUGAUGAUUAUAAGAUAAAAUUUAUAUUCUUAGAUUCCUUAAUGAGUCUAGUUUCAAAUGAAGUAAACGAUAACAUAUUUUGAAUUCUGUGUAAUGAGAAAAUUGAUUUGUAGUGAAGAGUGGUCAGAAUAGUCAAACAGUGAAACAGGGGAAACUUCAAUAAAAAUCUGGUAUUGAUUGGUCAAACCAAAAAUUCUGAAAAUUUUAUGGAUGGAA
Molecule: long non-coding RNA, 273 nt
Filed under: Gossypium barbadense (sea-island cotton)
Lineage: Eukaryota; Viridiplantae; Streptophyta; Magnoliopsida; Malvales; Malvaceae
Description: long non-coding RNA (GBAR_LNC007340)
Source: RNAcentral